Molecule: microRNA precursor, 98 nt
Organism: Pan troglodytes (chimpanzee)
Lineage: Eukaryota; Metazoa; Chordata; Mammalia; Primates; Hominidae
Rfam family: mir-943 microRNA precursor family
Source: Rfam
GGGACGUUCUGGGCUCAGAGGGGGUGGGGGACGUUUGCCGGUCACUGCUGCUGGCGCCCUGACUGUUGCCGUCCUCCAGCCCCACUCAAAGGCAUCCC